GAUGAACGCUGGCGGCGUGCCUAAUACAUGCAAGUCGAGCGAACAGACGAGGAGCUUGCUCCUCUGACGUUAGCGGCGGACGGGUGAGUAACGCGUGGAUACCCUCCCUGUAAGACUGGGAUAACUUCGGGAAACCGGAGCUAAUACCGGAUAACAUGUUGAACCGCAUGGUUCAACAGUGAAAGACGGUCUUGCUGGCACUUAUCGAUGGAUCCGCGCCGCAUUAGCUAGUUGUUAAGGUAACGGCUUACCACGGCAACGAUGCGUAGCCGACCUGCGAGGGUGAUCGGCCACACGGGAACUGAGCCACGGUCCAGACUCCUACGGGAGGCAGCAGUAGGGAAUCUGACGCAAUGGGCGAAAGCCUGACGGAGCAACGCCGCGUGAGUGAAGAAGGUCUUCGGAUCGUAAAACUCUGUUAUUAGGGAAGAACAAAUGUGGAAGUAACUAUGCACGUCUUGACGGUAACGAAUCAGAAAGCCACGGCUAACUACGUG
RNAcentral lists this ribosomal RNA (497 nucleotides) under uncultured bacterium. RNAcentral describes it as "partial 16S ribosomal RNA". It matches the Rfam family "Bacterial small subunit ribosomal RNA", at positions 28 to 507 of the family's 1533-position model. The record is from RNAcentral.